This 485-nucleotide ribosomal RNA is filed under the name uncultured bacterium. RNAcentral describes it as "partial 16S ribosomal RNA". It matches the Rfam family "Bacterial small subunit ribosomal RNA", at positions 30 to 506 of the family's 1533-position model. The record is from RNAcentral.
AUUGAACGCUGGCGGCAUGCCUUACACAUGCAAGUCGAACGGCAGCGCGGACUUCGGUCUGGCGGCGAGUGGCGAACGGGUGAGUAAUACAUCGGAACGUACCCUGUUGUGGGGGAUAACUAGUCGAAAGAUUAGCUAAUACCGCAUACGACCUGAGGGUGAAAGUGGGGGACCGGAAACGGCCUCAUGCAGCAGGAGCGGCCGAUGUCUGAUUAGCUAGUUGGUGGGGUAAAGGCCCACCAAGGCGACGAUCAGUAGCUGGUCUGAGAGGACGAUCAGCCACACUGGGACUGAGACACGGCCCAGACUCCUACGGGAGGCAGCAGUGGGGAAUUUUGGACAAUGGGGGCAACCCUGAUCCAGCAAUGCCGCGUGUGUGAAGAAGGCCUUCGGGUUGUAAAGCACUUUUGUCCGGAAAGAAAUCGCGCUGGUUAAUACCUGGCGUGGAUGACGGUACCGGAAGAAUAAACACCGGCUAACUACGU